CAUAAGUUGUGAAUGAACC
Molecule: microRNA, 19 nt
Filed under: Ananas comosus (pineapple)
Lineage: Eukaryota; Viridiplantae; Streptophyta; Magnoliopsida; Poales; Bromeliaceae
Description: microRNA s0404_c45a
Source: RNAcentral